GCCACUUGGCCAGGCUACAUUGGACAGAUAUUUAGUCCAACAUACUGGAUGUUUCUGUGAAGGUGGUUUUGGGAUAGGAUUUGUUAGGAGUGCUAGGGAAAGAAACACAGUUUUGGAGCAGUGAGAUCUCAAGCAAGAUUUAUUGACCAGCAGGGUGGCCAGGAGCACUGAACAAGAGGAACUCAGAGCGCCCCACACCCCCCCACCCCGCCUUUGGGAGAGAAUCAGGUUUUAUAGGCAGGGGGUCAUGUGCUGAGUUCUAAGGGUCUGGGAUAGUGGUUGAGAUCAUGGUAUAAAAUUUAACUUUCUCCUUGGGGAUGUCAUUGCCCUUGGGAAGUCAACCCUUCAUGGGCUUGGUUAUUUCGCCUUUGCAGGUCUGAUAAAGUGGAGACUGCAGGUCUAGGUCUGGGUGGGUCAACGAGUCAUGCAGACUCAUUCUUUUUUAGACCUUCCUUUGAGUUUACACUUAAGAAGAUUAACAUCUAAGUGGGUGGGCUCUAAGUAAGGCAGAGGACUCUCACUAAUGAACAUGGGGUUCUUCCAAUCAGGUGAUGACCCGAGUAGGACAAAGACUGACCUUCACCCAGCAAGAAAGCAUCUGACAGCUGAUGGCCCAGGGAUGAGAGCUGCAGCUCUUCCCUGGGUCUUCAGCAGACUGUCCUGCAGAUUUUGGAGUUGAAUCUCCACAAUCCCAUGAGCUAAGUCCUCAAAUCUCCAAAUAUAUAUAUAUGAGUAUAUGUAUAUAUGUGUCUAUACAUAUAUGUAUGUAUAUGUAUUUGUGAAUCUAUACAUGUGCACAGACACACUCAUACACAUGUUUUGUUGGUUCUGCUUCACAGAGUUCUCUGGAAUAACCAACAGAGGAGAAAUAUUCUUUUUAAUUUAGGAUUUCUAUUUUUCUGAGCUUUUUAAAGGAUAGUUUCUGUUUUGCAUAAAAAUCAGGUUUUGUUUUUGAAAACUUCACUAAGCACUAGUAAGAUUUAGGAGAGUGCAACAGAGGCCCCAGGGAGUUUUCAGUGAUUGAGACAAAAAAAGCUGAAUUGUGCAGGGCUGGGUGGCUUUCUCUGUUUCUGGGACUCUCAUAGGCAGAUGCUGGUGUUCCUGGAGGCCAAGGAGAGAAGCACCCUUUGCAACACAGACCUCCAGGAAGGGUGGUUCUCCCAGGUGGGGACACCAGGAGCCGAUGCCUAGUGCCCACAGCGUGGCAGCCAUGAAGAUGCUCAGGUCUGCUGCAGGCCAUGAUGUUGGUUGCCAGGGCCCAAUGCUGUGAUCUAUAUACCUUUCACCCCUCAGGGCAGUCCUGCUUCCUCAGGGCUCUCCCACCAAUGACCCAGCAUGUCCAAAAUGCUCCUUGCCUCUGGAGUGCUUUUGGGAAGUGGUCACUGCACCAUUCAGGACGCAGGAUGCAGGAGGCUUAGGACAUCAGGCUGAGUCAGGACUGAGGAUGCUCACCACGUUCUAACUCUGGUCCAGGGCACCAGAUCUCCCCACUGGAGAUCACAUUUCCCUCAUUCUAAUCAAUCACUAUUUGGAGGGUGGAUACUGAUUCAUAAUAUUUAACAUUCUGGGUCACCCUUGGGAAGUGGGUAUAGGGGGGAUUUUUCACUGGGUUGGAUAUCACACUGGUGUCCUAUCAAUGUAGCCUGACCAAAUAAAGUUCUAUUUAAUGAAAUUUGGCAUUUUAUUUAUGGAGAGUUUUUGCAACUAUAGCCAUAGGACAGUGUUCUAAAUUGUGAUAAGUAGGAAUGAAUAUAAAACCAAAAUGAUGAGAUACUAUUAAUAAAUACAGCCUAUUGACCCAAGAGGGCUAGAGUUGCAUUUCAGGGUUUUUGAAUGAAACGUAACAAAACCCCAGGGAAACAUGUGGAGAAGGAUCCAAGCAGGCUCAUUCCCGGGUCAUGCAGUUCAUGGUGGGGCCAGGACUGUGCUGGAGCAGGGCUGUGCCUGCAGGGUACAGGUGACCAUGACCUUGGCUCCAACUCUGCAGCCAGGCCAACCUUGAGAAGGGGUUCUCUUCCUGAACUGUAAGCCCCAGUAGCUAAGCUUGGGGUCCAUUAAUGUCCCUUUCAUUCUACUAUUCUAGGCCACAUAAAGACUAUAAACAGAAUUGUGCUGACAAUGUGGGUCAUUUUUCUAGGACACAAGGACCUCUCUCCAUCCUACUGGCAUGCUAAUGUGGCCCUCAAAGAAAGAGGCACCCCACUAUUAGGAAGUCCCCUCGGUUUCCCACCUACCCCGUGUUUCAUGAAGGGGAAUCCUGGGGUGUUUAGUUGUCUUGUCUAGUCUGUGCUUUCCCUUUCUUUCCUCCUUCUGCUCCUCUCUAUCCAGCCCUCUUCCUUCUUCCUCUUCUUCCUUUUUUGGAUGACCAGCUAGAUGCCUGUCAAUUUGUCAGCACUGUUUAUGCUUUAGAUUAAUAUUCCCCUGCAAGGUGUUCAUGGCAGCCCUUGGGAAGUCAGGGCAGAGGGACUGGUUUCCUGUUGCUUCCUUAGCCUCCAGGCUUGCUUUGCUUGAAGUAGUCUAUAUUCUUUUGCUCUUUGGUGGUAUCUAUUUCACCAUCAUAGUCUUUAUCACAUACUCUCUGGAAUCUAAGUAGUUAAAUUCAGCAGCCAGGAAAGUUUGCUCCCCAGGAGAAAGCCACUAACCUCCAGAGACGUCUUUGAGGGCAUUUUCCCACCAAAUUUUAUAACUGUAAUCUUCCUGGUCUCCAACAGCCUUCUCAAAUACAUGUAUCUCUUUGAAAUAUCUUGACAAGCAGGUUUAGAAAUUACAGAACAACUCUUGUUUAGGCCGUUGGAAAGGGCUGGGCGGAUAGUUGGCUGGUCUUGGGGACUUGACUGAGCCCUUUCCAGUCCCUGGGCUGUGAGCCCGGCUAGCACUGAGCUCAGAGCUCACACCUCCAUGGAUGUGACGGACUCGAUCCAUCCCUAAUGCUUUGUGUCAGGCGUUCCUGCUGCCCUCGAGCCGUUCUUAAUAAUAAGACAAAAGUGAUAUUUUAGGGUAACAGUUAAUAAAUAAUGUGACUUAUCCAAUCACACCUUUCACUAAAAUAUUAUUAUCCUUUGGCAGAUUCAUUACUACAGAGACAUCAGGAUCUGAUGAAACAUUCUCUAAUUCUACCAGUAGUACAUUUUCCAGAGUUGUCUUUCUUUUAAUUUAAUUCUCCCACUCUGAAAGCAUACUGUCCGUUGCAAUUAUCGAAUGAGCAUUUAAUCUUGCAUAACUAAGGCAUUUUAAUCUUUUCUCAUGGAGAGACGAUUAAAAGGUCCUAAUAUUGCUAUGAUAUGGAUACAUUUCAUUCCAACCUAGUGAAUCAAAGUUCCCUUUGUUCUCAUCACUCUAAGUGAAGAGAAAUCAAGUCUCCAGACACUUUGCUGCAUGGUGCAACCGGCUCAGCACAGGGUAUGAGAAAUAAAUAUUUGGGCAGACAGUCUAUUGCAUGGAAAGGUUUCCAGAUCUUCCUCAGGCAGAGGUAAGCCUAGAGGUGGAGACUAGGAAGAGAAGAUUUCAUAGUUGUUAUUGUAGCUUGAUUUAUAGUCUAUUAUAUUUUCCCAAAGCAAUAAAUUUUGGCACUUUAUAAAUGCUGUAUUACUAAGAGAGAUAUUGGAUCACAUUAAAACUGUAAGAGGUGAUUUUUUUUAAUACCGCAACAUUUUUACAUCGAUAGUUUCAAUUUUUAGUUAACAUGUUGGUAUACUAGUAUAAAAUUAAAAAAUAAAAGUUAAUGAAUUUUUAAACUUUUUCAAAAUCAGCACCUUUUCCUGAUUUACAUUUUUAAUGUUCCUUUUCCUUGGCACGCAGCAUGUCUGGUUAAAAGGAUUUUAUACCUUGAAUGUUUGCAGUGUACAUACACCUCAGCCUAUUAUCAACUCUGGUGAAAAUACAUAAGUAUAAAUCCUCAGUGUGUUAUUUUUCUAAGAAAGUAAUUUCCCUGUGACUCUUUUGCCUGGCCUUUAACCACCGACAUGGGUAUAUUUAUUAUAAUUGUACUGGGCACUGUUUUAUGAGAAAGGACAUCACAUUGCAUUACAUAUUUUCAUAAUACCUUGGACGUGGUUGAGAAAUGUCAUAACCUUUUUCUUCAACGUCUGUUUCUUAGCCACAUCCAUCCAUGACCUAAUUCUCCCUUUCAGAAUUGUGGUGUAUAAACGGGUCACGGAUAAACAAGUUUGCAUUUGGGAAGCAAGGCAACUACAAUUUGAUAUUUAUUAUGCAUUAUUCCUUAAGGAUCAUUUCGUGUUUAUUGAAAGUAGGUAAAACAACAAUUAUUUCCAGACUGAGAGUGAUCUGGUAUCAAUGUGAAAUACAUUUUGUGAAAUAAGUCAGGAUUUACCAGUUUCCCUGUGAAAGAAACAUUCAGAUGGCUGAACCAGUCAUUUUAAAGAAUAUAUCUGAACUUUUUAAAAACUCCCUUUUAAAAGAGAACAUGUUUUCUUUCAUUCUUCUAUGCAUGAUACUUUGUUACAUUGUUUCAUGAAGAUUCUUUUAAAAUUACAUAAAAUAUUUAUUAAAUAAAUGUUUAGAUUAUAAGUAAAUGGCAAAACUGGCUUAAGAAACUUGAUGGAUAGCUCCUUCUUUUUUGGAGGGAUAGAAUGAUGACAAUCAGAAAUUCAUAGAAUAUCUAAGAACUUGGAGCCAUACAUAGAUUCAUAAGGGUAUAGAUACACUUUGUUUGCAUAUUGUUUCUUUCUUAUCCAGGAGCUGCUUUGAUUAUUUGGGCUGAGGUGUUGACAGCCUGAGGUGUAGUCCUUGAUUACAUAGGUAAAAGAAUAUACAUUAAGCUGAAUAGAAAGCUGAUAGUAGUGUAGGCUAAGUGCAUUUAAUCAGCUGCUUAUUCAAAUACCCUAUUCAUUAUUUCUCCAAGAGUGAGAUUGGUGUGCGUGUGUAUGUGUGUGUGUGUGAAUGCGUGAGCGUGCAUAUGUAGUGGGCUCGGGAAGGUGAUGCUAUUGGCACAAUUUUUUGGAUGGAUUCUGGGGAAUGAAAGAGAUGAAAGCUCCAUUUACAAAAUGUAAACAGUUAAACAUUUCCAAGGGGACCACAGAGGUUGAAUUAAUAAUAUGGCAUUUCUACAUCAAUAAUGUGAAUUUUCUGAUUAAAAGUGUUAGUACUACAUCAGGGUAAAUCGCCAGCCAUUAUAAUAUCAACAUGUCACUACCAAGCUCUAGUGGUUUAGAAGAGCUUUGCUUGGGUGAAAAUGGCUGGGGGUGGGGGUAGCCAAUGUCUUCUUUAAUUAUACAAGAUUCCCUUAAGAUGAAAUAGGAUAGACUUGUGGUUGCCAAGGGGGAAGGGGAGGGAGUGGGAUGGAUUGGGAGCUUGGGGUUAAUAGACGCAGACUAUUGCCUUUGGAAUGGAUUAGCAAUGAGAUCCUGCUGUAUAGCACUGGGAACUAUGUCUAGUCACUUACAAUGGAGCAUGAUAAUGUGAGAAAAAAGAAUGUAUACAUGUAUGUGUAACUGGGUCAUCAUGCUGUACAAUAUAAAAAAGUAACGUAUUGGAGAAAUUUAAAAAAAUUUUUAAAAAGAUGAAUUAGAAUUGGGAAAGGAGUCAUUUGAGGUUUUUAAUACUGCCUUUUUAAAUGAAAAUUUUUAUUUCAUGAGACUCUUAGCAAAAGUAAAGAAAAUGACAAGGCAAGAAAUAUCUAAAAUGGUGUUUUAAAAAAUCAUCCUUUGACUGAACGGGAUAGUCAUGGAGGAAAUGCAAAUCUCGUUUCGUUAUCUGAGUCAAUCCACAUAAAAAUACAGUUUGGUUCAAACCCACGCAAUAAUUAAGAUAAAGAGAUUUGGAGUCCAGACAGACCUGAAUUCACAUCUCAGCUCAGUGUCUCACUAGUUACAGGACCCCUGCAAAGGUUUUCAAAUUUUCUAGCUCACAGUAUGUCAAAUGAGAAUGGUAAUGAAAUAUUUUCUUCAUACGGUUACUGUGAAAACUGAAGAUAACAUAUGUAAAGUUCUUAGCAAAGUACCUGAUAUAUAAUAAUAAUUCCACACAUGAAACUUAAAAAAAAAUCCCAGGAUGACAAAUGAAUGAAAUACUUAAGAAAAACAAAUAUUUUUGGUAUUUACUAUCUCUUCCAAUUGAGCUGUUGCUUUUUCCCUGGAGUUACAUAGGUAUUUCACUCUCUUAAAAAAAAAAAAAAAAAAAA
This 6139-nucleotide long non-coding RNA is filed under the name Sus scrofa (pig). RNAcentral's name for it is "lncRNA (ENSSSCG00025032592.1)". The record is from RNAcentral. Lineage: Eukaryota; Metazoa; Chordata; Mammalia; Artiodactyla; Suidae.